RNAcentral lists this microRNA (21 nucleotides) under Strongyloides ratti. RNAcentral describes it as "str-miR-8387-5p". Lineage: Eukaryota; Metazoa; Nematoda; Chromadorea; Rhabditida; Strongyloididae. The record is from miRBase by way of RNAcentral.
AAAUUUCAUGAUUCGGUAGGA